RNAcentral lists this ribosomal RNA (119 nucleotides) under Lupinus angustifolius (narrow-leaved blue lupine). Lineage: Eukaryota; Viridiplantae; Streptophyta; Magnoliopsida; Fabales; Fabaceae. The record is from RNAcentral.
AAGUGCGAUAAUACUAGAACUAAUGCACCAGAUCCCCCCAGAACUGUGUAGUUAAGCAUGCUUCGGGGACAGUAGUACGAGGAUGGUUGACCUCCUGGGAAAUCCUCGUGUUGUAUGUU